This 1350-nucleotide ribosomal RNA is filed under the name Mycobacterium sp. DWMJ-1247A3. RNAcentral's name for it is "bacterial SSU rRNA". It matches the Rfam family "Bacterial small subunit ribosomal RNA", at positions 78 to 1429 of the family's 1533-position model. The record is from RNAcentral. Lineage: Bacteria; Bacillati; Actinomycetota; Actinomycetes; Mycobacteriales; Mycobacteriaceae.
CUUCGGGGUACUCGAGUGGCGAACGGGUGAGUAACACGUGGGCAAUCUGCCCUGCACACCGGCGAUAAGCCUGGGAAACUGGGUCUAAUACCGGAUAGGACCACUUGGCGCAUGCCUUGUGGUGGAAAGCUUUUGCGGUGUGGGAUGGGCCCGCGGCCUAUCAGCUUGUUGGUGGGGUGACGGCCUACCAAGGCGACGACGGGUAGCCGGCCUGAGAGGGUGUCCGGCCACACUGGGACUGAGAUACGGCCCAGACUCCUACGGGAGGCAGCAGUGGGGAAUAUUGCACAAUGGGCGCAAGCCUGAUGCAGCGACGCCGCGUGGGGGAUGACGGCCUUCGGGUUGUAAACCUCUUUCACCAUCGACGAAGGUCCGGGUUUUCUCGGAUUGACGGUAGGUGGAGAAGAAGCACCGGCCAACUACGUGCCAGCAGCCGCGGUAAUACGUAGGGUGCGAGCGUUGUCCGGAAUUACUGGGCGUAAAGAGCUCGUAGGUGGUUUGUCGCGUUGUUCGUGAAAUCUCACGGCUUAACUGUGAGCGUGCGGGCGAUACGGGCAGACUAGAGUACUGCAGGGGAGACUGGAAUUCCUGGUGUAGCGGUGGAAUGCGCAGAUAUCAGGAGGAACACCGGUGGCGAAGGCGGGUCUCUGGGCAGUAACUGACGCUGAGGAGCGAAAGCGUGGGGAGCGAACAGGAUUAGAUACCCUGGUAGUCCACGCCGUAAACGGUGGGUACUAGGUGUGGGUUUCCUUCCUUGGGAUCCGUGCCGUAGCUAACGCAUUAAGUACCCCGCCUGGGGAGUACGGCCGCAAGGCUAAAACUCAAAGGAAUUGACGGGGGCCCGCACAAGCGGCGGAGCAUGUGGAUUAAUUCGAUGCAACGCGAAGAACCUUACCUGGGUUUGACAUGCACAGGACGCGUCUAGAGAUAGGCGUUCCCUUGUGGCCUGUGUGCAGGUGGUGCAUGGCUGUCGUCAGCUCGUGUCGUGAGAUGUUGGGUUAAGUCCCGCAACGAGCGCAACCCUUGUCUCAUGUUGCCAGCGGGUAAUGCCGGGGACUCGUGAGAGACUGCCGGGGUCAACUCGGAGGAAGGUGGGGAUGACGUCAAGUCAUCAUGCCCCUUAUGUCCAGGGCUUCACACAUGCUACAAUGGCCGGUACAAAGGGCUGCGAUGCCGCGAGGUUAAGCGAAUCCUUUUAAAGCCGGUCUCAGUUCGGAUCGGGGUCUGCAACUCGACCCCGUGAAGUCGGAGUCGCUAGUAAUCGCAGAUCAGCAACGCUGCGGUGAAUACGUUCCCGGGCCUUGUACACACCGCCCGUCACGUCAUGAAAGUCGGUAACACCCGAAGCCA